GAUGAACGCUGGCGGCGUGCCUAAUACAUGCAAGUCGAGCGAACGGACGAGAAGCUUGCUUCUCUGAUGUUAGCGGCGGACGGGUGAGUAACACGUGGAUAACCUACCUAUAAGACUGGGAUAACUUCGGGAAACCGGAGCUAAUACCGGAUAAUAUUUUGAACCGCAUGGUUCAAAAGUAAAAGACGGUCUUGCUGUCACUUAUAGAUGGAUCCGCGCUGCAUUAGCUAGUUGGUAAGGUAACGGCUUACCAAGGCAACGAUGCAUAGCCGACCUGAGAGGGUGAUCGGCCACACUGGAACUGAGACACGGUCCAGACUCCUACGGGAGGCAGCAGUAGGGAAUCUUCCGCAAUGGGCGAAAGCCUGACGGAGCAACGCCGCGUGAGUGAUGAAGGUCUUCGGAUCGUAAAACUCUGUUAUUAGGGAAGAAUAUAUGUGUAAGUAACUGUGCACAUCUUGACGGUACCUAAUCAGAAAGCCACGGCUAACUACGUGCCCGCAGCCGCGGUAAUACGUAGGUGGCAAGCGUUAUCCGGAAUUAUUGGGCGUAAAGCGCGCGUAGGCGGUUUUUUAAGUCUGAUGUGAAAGCCCACGGCUCAACCGUGGAGGGUCAUUGGAAACUGGAAAACUUGAGUGCAGAAGAGGAAAGUGGAAUUCCAUGUGUAGCGGUGAAAUGCGCAGAGAUAUGGAGGAACACCAGUGGCGAAGGCGACUUUCUGGUCUGUAACUGACGCUGAUGUGCGAAAGCGUGGGGAUCAAACAGGAUUAGAUACCCUGGUAGUCCACGCCGUAAACGAUGAGUGCUAAGUGUUAGGGGGUUUCCGCCCCUUAGUGCUGCAGCUAACGCAUUAAGCACUCCGCCUGGGGAGUACGACCGCAAGGUUGAAACUCAAAGGAAUUGACGGGGACCCGCACAAGCGGUGGAGCAUGUGGUUUAAUUCGAAGCAACGCGAAGAACCUUACCAAAUCUUGACAUCCUUUGACAACUCUAGAGAUAGAGCCUUCCCCUUCGGGGGACAAAGUGACAGGUGGUGCAUGGUUGUCGUCAGCUCGCGUCGUGAGAUGUUGGGUUAAGUCCCGCAACGAGCGCAACCCUUAAGCUUAGUUGCCAUCAUUAAGUUGGGCACUCUAAGUUGACUGCCGGUGACAAACCGGAGGAAGGUGGGGAUGACGUCAAAUCAUCAUGCCCCUUAUGAUUUGGGCUACACACGUGCUACAAUGGACAAUACAAAGGGCAGCGAAACCGCGAGGUCAAGCAAAUCCCAUAAAGUUGUUCUCAGUUCGGAUUGUAGUCUGCAACUCGACUACAUGAAGCUGGAAUCGCUAGUAAUCGUAGAUCAGCAUGCUACGGUGAAUACGUUCCCGGGUCU
Molecule: ribosomal RNA, 1372 nt
Filed under: uncultured bacterium
Lineage: Bacteria
Description: bacterial SSU rRNA
Rfam family: Bacterial small subunit ribosomal RNA
Source: RNAcentral